This 408-nucleotide long non-coding RNA is filed under the name Sorghum bicolor (sorghum). Its description in RNAcentral is "long non-coding RNA (SBIC_LNC013405)". The record is from RNAcentral. Lineage: Eukaryota; Viridiplantae; Streptophyta; Magnoliopsida; Poales; Poaceae.
AUUCAUCAGAUUCAGAUAACGAUGAACCACAGAGAAGAAAGCAAGAUGCAUCAGAAGAUGAUGAACCCAGAAGAAGACGGCGUGAUGAGGAUGAACCAAGGAGAAGACUGGAUGACGACGAUGAACCGAGGAGAAGACAGCAGGAUGACAAUGAACCGAGGAGAAGACAGCGGGAUGACAAUGAACCGAGGAGAAGACGGCAGGACAACGGUGAACCAAGGAGAAGACGGCAGGACGACGAUGAACCAAGGAGAAGACGGCAGGACGACGAUGAACCAAGGAGAAGACGGCAGGACGACGAUGAGCCAAGGGGAAGACGGCAGGAUGAUGAGAAACCAAGGGAAAGAGGCUACGUUGACCGUCCAAGAUAUGAUCGCUUUGAUGUUGAUGAUAGGAAAAGGAGACAUC